AUACUUUUCUGGUUCAUAAGUGUUAUGAUUGGGUUUUCAUACUAUUGCAUGAGAUAUGCCUCCUUCUAAACCUUGUUAUGACAUUGGCGUAUUACCCAUUUAGUG
Molecule: small nucleolar RNA, 105 nt
Organism: Cynocephalus volans (Philippine flying lemur)
Lineage: Eukaryota; Metazoa; Chordata; Mammalia; Dermoptera; Cynocephalidae
Product: small nucleolar RNA U13
Exons: 1
Source: RefSeq, a predicted model, not a curated record